CGUGAUGUUACUUCAAAAACCAAACAACUAUGAUCGCCGGAAGAAACCAUCUAUCUUUCAUUAAUUCUUUUGUAAAUGUCGUCUCUGGUCUGCACGCUUAGAAAGCGUGAAAAGGUCCAUUUGAUCACAACGUUGUCAACGGUGGAACUAAAAUAUUCUCGGCCCAUUUGAUCUAUGCUUUCCAUGUGCACUAACUAACGAGCAUCCCCUGGUUGUGCCUCACCAACCCAGCUUAGAUAAAAUAAUGGGGAUUGGAGGAUUGAAGGACUAAAUAAUGAACCAUCCCUCGGCAAACUAGCCA
RNAcentral lists this long non-coding RNA (301 nucleotides) under Elaeis guineensis (African oil palm). RNAcentral describes it as "long non-coding RNA (EGUI_LNC023872)". Lineage: Eukaryota; Viridiplantae; Streptophyta; Magnoliopsida; Arecales; Arecaceae. The record is from RNAcentral.